Molecule: non-coding RNA, 73 nt
Organism: Zalophus californianus (California sea lion)
Lineage: Eukaryota; Metazoa; Chordata; Mammalia; Carnivora; Otariidae
Source: the annotation of a RefSeq genome assembly
ACCCAGCUGGCUCAGUUGGAAGAGCGUGUGACUGUUGAUCUCACGGUUGUGAGUUCGAGCCCCACAUCGGGUG